Glycine soja is the source of this 1480-nucleotide RNA transcript. RefSeq lists it as uncharacterized. The record is from RefSeq and is a predicted model, not a curated record. The transcript has 5 exons. NCBI's taxonomy places the organism in Eukaryota, Viridiplantae, Streptophyta, Magnoliopsida, Fabales, Fabaceae.
AGAAAUUAAGAACAUAUUUGGGGAUUGUCGCUCAUGAUAAGGUUGACGUGACAUAUGACACCUGGAAGGAAGUCCCUACUGCUCAGAAGGAUUUGAUAUGGGAGGAUAUUCAGGCGGAAUUUCAAAUCCCUGAAGCUUUUGACAGUAGGACAAAGAAGAAAAUUCUUCAGAUUGUCGGCGAGCGCUCGAGGCAGUUUAAAUCUGACUUGACUAGGAAAUGGGCACUUGCAGUCGACAAGGACGGUGUGGACGAAAUUGUCUGUGAAAAAUAUGGCAUUAGCAAGCAGAAAUGAACUCAGUUUUAUCAGACCCGUAGAGACCCCUCAUGGGAGAUGUACGGAAAAAGGCACAGGCCUCCCAGAAGCAAAACACUGCCCCCACGUAUUGUCUCGUGGGGGUUAUGAAUAUUUAGAAGAAAAGCUCAUGGUUGAGAAGACAAAGAAAAGACUGGAAGAAGUUGCCCAGUCUGGAAGCACUGAGGGCAUCAUUGACCCUCCAUCUCCCAUCAGACACCACGUGAAAUGGAAGAUGGCCCGCACGAAGAAAACUGGACAGAUGACGUCUGAGGCAGCAAAGGAAAUAGCUGACAGGAUUGACUCUUUGGACGAGCAGGCGUCACAGGGAUCGUUCGUCCCCCAUGGACGUCAGGAUAUCCUGACUUCUGCCAAUGGGCGACCAGAGCACCCUGGCCGUCUUCGUGCUGUUGGAACCAGUGUCAUCAUAAAGCAAUACUUUGGAUCAGCUUCACGAACAUCCCGCAGUUCUUCCUCCAUGCCUCUUGAAGACCUAGAACAGCUGACCCAACAAAUCAGAGACCAACUGGAGGAGUCAAUCACAGAAAAAGUGACUCAAAAGAUGAUGAAAUCCUUCAGCCAGAUGCAGUCUCAGUUUCAGUCUCAGAUGCAAUCAUAGGGAAUUGCACUACCUCCAGAGCCAGAGGUUGGUCCCUCAGGUCCUCGUGUCAGCACAAGGGAGAGUUGUGUUGCUCCCUCAGGGAACGAUCCAGGGACGGGUGACUCAGACAAAUGCGGCCUAUAUAUUGAAGAAAAUCCUUCUCGCUUGGUUGCCCUAGGAAGACUUUAACAGGGAUCCACAACAGUUCACAAUAUCCCUUUGUUGCAUGGCCAAGUCAAGGUUGGUGUUGAGGAGGUUAAAGAUACAGAGGCUCUCGUUCCUGUACCCACUGACGAGGUUACCUUAGUGGGGCAGGCACUUAACACUUUCCUUGCUUGGCCAACACAUCUUGUGAAGCGUUUAUCAGAACAGGCAGCUGUGUCUCCAGCAAAACCUCCAGAAAGCCCGGAUGAAGAGGUCGAUGAUCCCCUGUACCUGAUGACAUUGACCAUCUCAUAACUGUUUUUGAAGCCGCUCCAGGUUAUGUGGGAUGCUACCAUAUUCGGGGUGUUUAAUCAAAACUUCCCGUUGUAUAUAAAGCACGAAGAUCUCUCUGAAAUUACACAUGGUGGUCAAUGUCUCAGCA